This 505-nucleotide ribosomal RNA is filed under the name uncultured bacterium. RNAcentral describes it as "partial 16S ribosomal RNA". It matches the Rfam family "Bacterial small subunit ribosomal RNA", at positions 28 to 507 of the family's 1533-position model. The record is from RNAcentral.
GACGAACGCUGGCGGCGUGCCUAAUACAUGCAAGUAGAACGCACAGUUUAUACCGUAGCUUGCUACACCAUAGACUGUGAGUUGCGAACGGGUGAGUAACGCGUAGGUAACCUGCCUGGUAGCGGGGGAUAACUAUUGGAAACGAUAGCUAAUACCGCAUAAUAUUAAUUAUUGCAUGAUAAUUAAUUGAAAGGUGCAAUUGCACCACUACCAGCUGGACCUGCGUUGUAUUAGCUAGUAGGUGAGGUAACGGCUCACCUAGGCGACGAUACAUAGCCGAACUUGAGAGGGGGUCGGCCAAACUGGGAAUGGGACACCGCCCAGGCUUCUACGGGGGGGAACAGUAGGGGAACUUUGGGCAAUGAGGGAAGUCUGACCGAGGCACGCCGGGGGGGGGGAGGAGGUUUUCGGGUUGGAAAGCUCUGUUGUAAGGGAAGGAAGGGUGUGGGAGUGGAAAGUUCACACUGUGACGGUAUCUUACCAGAAAGGGACGGCUAACUACGUG